AGAGUUUGAUCAUGGCUCAGGAUGAACGCUAGCGGCAGGCCUAAUACAUGCAAGUCGAACGGUAAGUGUUAUAGCAAUAUGACACCAAGAGUGACGCACGGGUGCGUAACACGUAUGCAACCUACCCUUUACAGGCGGAUAGCUCGGGGAAACUCGAAUUAACCCGCCAUAAUAUAAUUGAGUGGCAUCAUUUGGUUAUUAAAUCUGCGGAGGUAAAGGAUGGGCAUGCGUCUGAUUAGCUAGUUGGUAGUGUAGUGGACUACCAAGGCGAUGAUCAGUAGGGGAACUGAGAGGUUGAUCCCCCACACUGGCACUGAGAUACGGGCCAGACUCCUACGGGAGGCAGCAGUAGGGAAUAUUGGUCAAUGGGUGAGAGCCUGAACCAGCCAUGCCGCGUGCAGGAAGAAGGCCUUCUGGGUUGUAAACUGCUUUUGCCAGGGGAUAAAAUUUCCUUGCGAGGAAAAUUGAAGGUACCUGGUGAAUAAGCCACGGCUAACUACGUGCCAGCAGCGGCGGUAAUUC
Molecule: ribosomal RNA, 522 nt
Filed under: uncultured bacterium
Lineage: Bacteria
Description: bacterial SSU rRNA
Rfam family: Bacterial small subunit ribosomal RNA
Source: RNAcentral